GCCGGAAUAGCUCAGUUGGUAGAGCAGAGGACUGAAAAUCCUCGUGUCACCAGUU
Molecule: transfer RNA, 55 nt
Filed under: Sciadocladus menziesii
Lineage: Eukaryota; Viridiplantae; Streptophyta; Bryopsida; Hypnodendrales; Pterobryellaceae
Also listed under: 9 other names
Description: partial tRNA-Phe
Rfam family: tRNA
About the family: Transfer RNA (tRNA) molecules are approximately 80 nucleotides in length. Their secondary structure includes four short double-helical elements and three loops (D, anti-codon, and T loops).
Source: RNAcentral